CCGGCCUAGUGGCGGACGGGUGAGUAACGCGUGGGCAACCUGCCCCAUACCGGGGGAUAACAGCCGGAAACGGCUGCUAACACCGCAUAAGCGCUGGGGGCCGCAUGGCUCCCAGCGGAAAACUCCGGUGGUAUGGGAUGGGCCCGCGUCUGAUUAGGCAGUUGGCGGGGCAGCGGCCCACCAAACCGACGAUCAGUAGCCGGCCUGAGAGGGCGGCCGGUCACAUUGGGACUGAGACACGGCCCAGACUCCUACGGAAGGCAGCAG
Molecule: ribosomal RNA, 267 nt
Filed under: uncultured bacterium
Lineage: Bacteria
Description: partial 16S ribosomal RNA
Rfam family: Bacterial small subunit ribosomal RNA
Source: RNAcentral